RNAcentral lists this long non-coding RNA (206 nucleotides) under Mytilus galloprovincialis (Mediterranean mussel). The record is from RNAcentral. Lineage: Eukaryota; Metazoa; Mollusca; Bivalvia; Mytilida; Mytilidae.
AUGAAAAUGUGUUUUCGUUGAUUGAGUGCUUUGCCCCACGGCCCCCUAAGGCUUUAAUCAUAUUUGAAAGUAAACACAAUGAAUAGAUAAAAGAUCAAAAAGAAACAAUUUUUAAUCUAAAGAAUGUUGUUAUUGAUGAGUUUUCAUUAACAGGAAUGGUAAUAUGUCAUUCUCGAUAACGCAUAAACUUCCGGAGGCUUCACCCC